This 508-nucleotide unclassified non-coding RNA is filed under the name Penicillium sp. CedarWA1. Its description in RNAcentral is "partial contains ITS1, 5.8S rRNA and ITS2". The stretch from base 172 to 325 matches the Rfam family "5.8S ribosomal RNA". Lineage: Eukaryota; Fungi; Ascomycota; Eurotiomycetes; Eurotiales; Aspergillaceae. The record is from RNAcentral.
GUGAGGGCCCUCUGGGUCCAACCUCCCACCCCGUGUUUAUCAUACCUAGUUGCUUCGGCGGGCCCGCCGUCAUGGCCGCCGGGGGGCACCCGCCCCCGGGCCCGCGCCCGCCGAAGCCCCCCUGAACGCUGUCUGAAGAUUGCAGUCUGAGCGAUUAGCUAAAUCAGUUAAAACUUUCAACAACGGAUCUCUUGGUUCCGGCAUCGAUGAAGAACGCAGCGAAAUGCGAUAAGUAAUGUGAAUUGCAGAAUUCAGUGAAUCAUCGAGUCUUUGAACGCACAUUGCGCCCCCUGGUAUUCCGGGGGGCAUGCCUGUCCGAGCGUCAUUGCUGCCCUCAAGCACGGCUUGUGUGUUGGGCCCCCGCCCCCCGGCUCCCGGGGGGCGGGCCCGAAAGGCAGCGGCGGCACCGCGUCCGGUCCUCGAGCGUAUGGGGCUUCGUCACCCGCUCUGUAGGCCCGGCCGGCGCCCGCCGGCGACCCCCCUCAAUCUUCUCAGGUAACCUCGGAUC